RNAcentral lists this long non-coding RNA (505 nucleotides) under Setaria viridis. RNAcentral's name for it is "long non-coding RNA (SVIR_LNC010052)". Lineage: Eukaryota; Viridiplantae; Streptophyta; Magnoliopsida; Poales; Poaceae. The record is from RNAcentral.
GGCAAGCCCAGCGCCGACGUCUCCGGCAUCCACAUCCCGCACAUCAGCCUCAACCGCGCCGACCUCGUCGUCGACGUGCUCAUCAAGAACCCCAACCCCGUCCCCAUCCCGCUCGUCGACAUAGACUACCUCAUCGACAGCGACGGCCGCAAGCUCGUCUCCGGCCUCAUCCCCGACGCCGGCACCAUCCACGCCCACGGCCAGGAGACCGUCAAGAUCCCCAUCUCCCUCGUCUUCGACGACAUCAAGAGCACCUACAAGGACAUCCAGCCCGGCAGCAUCAUCCCCUACCUCGUCCGCGUCGUCCUCCUCGUCGACGUCCCCAUCAUCGGACGCAUCAAGAUCCCGCUCGAGAAGUCCGGCGAGAUCCCCGUCCCAUACAAGCCCGACGUCGACGUCGAGAAGAUCAAGUUCCACCACUUCUCCUUCGAGGAGACCACCGCCACGCUGCACCUCAAGCUCGAGAACAAGAACGACUUCGACCUGGGGCUCAACCUGCUCGAGU